GCAAACUUGGUCAUUUAGAGGAAGUAAAAGUCGUAACAAGGUUUCCGUAGGUGAACCUGCGGAAGGAUCAUUUGAGAUUUAGUAAAUCUUAUCAUCCGUGUGCAAUCUCUGAAGUCUGAUGUCCUUGGAGAGGUCAUCCAUCGUAUGUGAACUCUCCAAGGAGGUUAUCACGAUCAAUGCAUUCUUUUUUUUCAUUACUAUAUGUAUAAAUAAUAAUCGAAACAACUUUCAACAACGGAUCUCUUGGCUCUCGCAUCGAUGAAGAACGCAGC
Molecule: unclassified non-coding RNA, 272 nt
Filed under: uncultured fungus
Lineage: Eukaryota; Fungi
Description: partial contains small subunit ribosomal RNA, internal transcribed spacer 1, and 5.8S ribosomal RNA
Rfam family: Eukaryotic small subunit ribosomal RNA (bases 1-73)
Source: RNAcentral